Molecule: non-coding RNA, 46 nt
Organism: Myotis davidii
Lineage: Eukaryota; Metazoa; Chordata; Mammalia; Chiroptera; Vespertilionidae
Source: Rfam
UCAAAGGCUUUAUUAAAAGCCUCCUAAUUUCUUAUUCUAUUCUCGU